GAUGAACGCUGGCGGCGUGCCUAAUACAUGCAAGUCGAGCGAACGGACGAGAAGCUUGCUUCUCUGAUGUUAGCGGCGGACGGGUGAGUAACACGUGGAUAACCUACCUAUAAGACUGGGAUAACUUCGGGAAACCGGAGCUAAUACCGGAUGAUAUUUUGAACCGCAUGGUUCAAAAGUGAAAGACGGUCUUGCUGUCACUUAUAGAUGGAUCCGCGCUGCAUUAGCUAGUUGGUAAGGUAACGGCUUCCCAAGGCAACGAUGCAUAGCCGACCUGAGAGGGUGAUCGGCCACAAUGGAACUGAGACACGGUCCAGACUCCUACGGGAGGCAGCAGUAGGGAAUCUUCCGCAAUGGGCGAAAGCCUGACGGAGCAACGCCGCGUGAGUGAUGAAGGUCUUCGGAUCGUAAAACUCUGUUAUUAGGGAAGAACAUAUGUGUAAGUAACUGUGCACAUCUUGACGGUACCUAAUCAGAAAGCCACGGCUAACUACGUG
Molecule: ribosomal RNA, 497 nt
Filed under: uncultured bacterium
Lineage: Bacteria
Description: partial 16S ribosomal RNA
Rfam family: Bacterial small subunit ribosomal RNA
Source: RNAcentral